GUUGGAGUAAAUGGGUUUUUUUCUAACUGGAAUACUGUCAAGGCAGGAGUCCCUCAAGGAUCCAUCUUGGGCCCUUUUCUGUUUUUAUUGUUUGUGAAUGACAUAGUAGAUGCGGUUACAAACAAAUAAAAACUGUUUGCAGAUGAUACUUGUCUAUAUUGUGUUGUACAUGAUGAGAGAUCAGCAGCUGAAUCCUUGGGUCAAGAUCUAGAAUCAUUAGAUCAAUGGGCAGGGGAAUGGGGUGUAACCUUCAAUGCAGACAAAACCAAAUCUAUGUAUUUUACAAGAAAAAGAAAUAUUGAUGUCACAUCACUAUGCAUGAAUGAUGCACCUCUAGAAAAUGUCUCAGAACAUAAACAUCUUGGUAUAACCUUAUCUUCUAAUGCCAAAUGGUCUAGUCACAUACAGGAUAUUUAUUCAAAAGCUUGUAAACGUCUUAAUAUUAUGAGAUAUUUAAAACAUAAGAUUGAUAGACAGUCUCUUGAAAGACUUUAUAUUGCAUUUAUAAGGCCUAUUUUAGAAUAUGGGAACAUAAUUUGGGACAACUGCACACAAGAAGAAUCAGAUCUAAUUGAGUCUGUACAACAAGCUGCUGCCAGAAUUGUAACUGGGCUUCGAAAGGGAACUCCUAGAUGGAAAUUAUAUAAGGA
Molecule: long non-coding RNA, 650 nt
Filed under: Mytilus galloprovincialis (Mediterranean mussel)
Lineage: Eukaryota; Metazoa; Mollusca; Bivalvia; Mytilida; Mytilidae
Source: RNAcentral